RNAcentral lists this ribosomal RNA (781 nucleotides) under uncultured Rubrobacter sp. RNAcentral describes it as "bacterial SSU rRNA". It matches the Rfam family "Bacterial small subunit ribosomal RNA", at positions 8 to 796 of the family's 1533-position model. The record is from RNAcentral. Lineage: Bacteria; Bacillati; Actinomycetota; Rubrobacteria; Rubrobacterales; Rubrobacteraceae.
AGAGUUUGAUCAUGGCUCAGGACGAACGCUGACGGUGUGCUUUAGGCAUGCAAGUCGAACGAGAAAACCCUUCGGGGUGAGUAAAAGUGGCGAACGGGUGAGUAACACGUGGGCAACCUGCCCCUCGCAGGGGGGACAACCGGAGGAAACUCCGGCUAAUACCCCGUAAGCUCUACACGCCGCAUGGCGAGUAGAGGAAAGGUAGCUUCGGCCAUCCGGCGAGGGAUGGGCCCGCGGUGCAUUAGCUAGUUGGUGGGGUAACGGCCCACCAAGGCGACGAUGCGUAGCUGGUCUGAGAGGAUGAUCAGCCACACUGGGACUGAGACACGGCCCAGACUCCUACGGGAGGCAGCAGCGAGGAAUUUUCCACAAUGGGCCGUAUGGCCUGAUGGAGCAACGCCGCGUGGGGGACGAAGCGUUUCGGCGUGUAAACCCCUUUUGGGCGGGAAGAUGAUGACGGUACCGCCCGAAUAAGCCCCGGCUAACUACGUGCCAGCAGCCGCGGUAAUACGUAGGGGGCGAGCGUUGUCCGGAAUUAUUGGGCGUAAAGAGCGUGUAGGCGGUUCGGUAAGUCUGCCGUGAAAACCUGAGGCUCAACCUCGGGCGUGCGGUGGAUACUGCCGGGCUAGAGGACGGUAGAGGCGAGUGGAAUUCCCGGUGUAGCGGUGAAAUGCGCAGAUAUCGGGAGGAACACCAGUAGCGAAGGCGGCUCGCUGGGCCGUUCCUGACGCUGAGACGCGAAAGCUAGGGGAGCGAACAGGAUUAGAUACCCCGGUAGUCC